Molecule: long non-coding RNA, 741 nt
Organism: Dermochelys coriacea (leatherback sea turtle)
Lineage: Eukaryota; Metazoa; Chordata; Testudines; Dermochelyidae
Exons: 2
Source: RefSeq, a predicted model, not a curated record
AAAAAUGAUGACAGCUAGUGUUUAGACUAAGAUGCUCCUAUUUCUAUAGAGAGGUUAAAGGAUCCAGAGAGAAAGUAAUCAGUGACAAAGAUCUAGAGUUACUGCUGGAUAGAAGUGACCUUAUUGACCAAAUGAAAAAGUCUGAAUCAGUUGAAAAAGAAAAAGUGGGAGUGUUCAAGGUUCUAGAAGAUUCUGAAGACUCCAAUACAGAAUGUGUAUUUUGAAGUGUGAUUGGCUUCUAAAAGUGCAGCCCUCACUUCUUGUGACUAACAGCUGAUCUCGUAAGGCCAUCAUUUACAUAUAGUGACACUUGAUUAUGCUGAUUUUUUUUUUUUUCCCCUCAAAGCCCUGGUUCAAAUCCUUUUUUUUUUUUUUUUUUUUUUUUUUUUUCUUUUCAGUGAGUUGUAACAUGUCAGGUAGGAUACUUCAUGAUGUAGCAUACCUAAAAAUUUCAUACUUGUGAACCUCACAUGAACAAUUAAGAAAAUGAACAUGUUUCAGGUGUUUAGGUCGCAUGUGUGAUCCAGUGACAAACACUGCCAGGUUUGUACAAAAUCUUCCUGUGGAAGUCUUGCGAAAACAAUUUUAUUUUUCUCUCCAAUUUGACCUAAUGUGUCAAUUAUGAUUUUAUUGGGAAAGGGAAGACUGUCUAGUACACUUGUUUACAACCAAUCCUGUAACUUCAGUUUUAAAUUUUGCAAAAUAUUUUGCUAAUAAAUUUUGUCCAUUUUGUCAUGUGAA